GAGUUUGAUCAUGGCUCAGGAUGAACGCUAGCGGCAGGCCUAAUACAUGCAAGUCGAACGGCAGCACGGUGUAGCAAUACAUUGGUGGCGAGUGGCGCACGGGUGCAUAACACGUAUGUAAUUUGCCCAUAACUGGGAGAUAGCCUUCCGAAAGGAAGAUUAAUACCCCAUAACCCAGCGAGGUGGCAUCACUUUUCUGGUAAAGCUCCGGCGGUUAUGGAUAAGCAUGCGUCCGAUUAGCUAGUUGGCGAGGUAAAAGCUCACCAAGGCAACGAUCGGUAGGGGGUCUGAGAGGAUGAUCCCCCACACGGGUACUGAGACACGGACCCGACUCCUACGGGAGGCAGCAGUAAGGAAUAUUGGACAAUGGAGGCAACUCUGAUCCAGCCAUGCCGCGUGAAGGAUGAAGGCGCUACGCGUUGUAAACUUCUUUUCUACUAGAAAAAACAUUGGUUUCGUACCGAAUCUGAUUGUACAGUAGGAAUAAGCAUCGGCUAACUUCGUG
RNAcentral lists this ribosomal RNA (505 nucleotides) under uncultured Sphingobacterium sp. RNAcentral describes it as "bacterial SSU rRNA". It matches the Rfam family "Bacterial small subunit ribosomal RNA", at positions 9 to 507 of the family's 1533-position model. The record is from RNAcentral. Lineage: Bacteria; Pseudomonadati; Bacteroidota; Sphingobacteriia; Sphingobacteriales; Sphingobacteriaceae.